This 1352-nucleotide ribosomal RNA is filed under the name metagenome. RNAcentral's name for it is "bacterial LSU rRNA". It matches the Rfam family "Bacterial large subunit ribosomal RNA", at positions 1564 to 2925 of the family's 2925-position model. The record is from RNAcentral.
CGAGUCCGAGUCUCCACGGAGACGAAGUGGCGGUCAUCCAGCUUCCUAGAAAAGCUCUAACCACGUUAAUCUUUAGUUGCCUGUACCCGAAACCGACACAGGUAGGGGGGUAGAGAAUACCAAGGGGCGCGAGAUAACUCUCUCUAAGGAACUCGGCAAAAUGACCCCGUAACUUCGGGAGAAGGGGUACCACUGAGAAGUGGUCGCAGUGAAGAGGCCCAGGCGACUGUUUACCAAAAACACAGGUCUCCGCCAAGUCGCAAGACGAAGUAUGGGGGCUGACGCCUGCCCAGUGCCGGAAGGUUAAGGAAGUGGGUUAGGGAUUCGUCCCGAAGCUGACGACUGAAGCCCCGGUGAACGGCGGCCGUAACUAUAACGGUCCUAAGGUAGCGAAAUUCCUUGUCGGGUAAGUUCCGACCCGCACGAAAGGCGUAACGAUCUGGGCGCUGUCUCGGAGAGAGGCUCGGCGAAAUAGGAAUGUCUGUGAAGAUACGGACUACCUGCACCUGGACAGAAAGACCCUAUGAAGCUUUACUGUAGCUUGGAAUUGGGUUCGGGCUUGGUUUGCGCAGGAUAGGUGGGAGGCGAAGAAGAUUUGCUUGUGGGUGUAUCUGAGCCAACGGUGAGAUACCACUCUAACCAGGCUAGAAUUCUAACUUCAACCCGUCAACCGGGGGAAGGACAGUUUCAGGUGGGCAGUUUGACUGGGGCGGUCGCCUCCUAAAAGAUAACGGAGGCGCACAAAGGUUCCCUCAGGCUGGUUGGAAAUCAGCCAACGAGUGCAAAGGCAGAAGGGAGCUUGACUGCGAGACCUACAAGUCAAGCAGGGUGGAAACACGGUCUUAGUGAUCCGACGGCACCGAGUGGAAGGGCCGUCGCUCAACGGAUAAAAGUUACUCUAGGAUAACAGGCUGAUCUCCCCCAAGAGUUCACAUCGACGGGGAGGUUUGGCACCUCGAUGUCGGCUCAUCGCAACCUGGGGCGGAGGUACGUCCCAAGGGUUGGGCUGUUCGCCCAUUAAAGCGGUACGUGAGCUGGGUUCAGAACGUCGUGAGACAGUUCGGUCCAUAUCCGGUGUAGGCGCAAGAACAUUGAGAGGAGUCUUCCUUAGUACGAGAGGACCGGGAAGAACGCACCGCUGGUGUACCUGUUAUCGUGCCAACGGUAAACGCAGGGUAGCCAAGUGCGGAGUGGAUAACCGCUGAAAGCAUCUAAGUGGGAAGCCCACCUCAAGAUGAGUGUUCUCAUGGAGUAAUCCAGUAAGGUCACGGGAAGACGACCCGUUGAUAGGCGGUAGGUGGAAGUUCAGCAAUGGAUGAAGCCGAGCCGUACUAACAGACCGAGGGCUUGAC